This 506-nucleotide small RNA is filed under the name Pongo abelii (Sumatran orangutan). RNAcentral's name for it is "retained intron". Lineage: Eukaryota; Metazoa; Chordata; Mammalia; Primates; Hominidae. The record is from RNAcentral.
UAAUUUUCAUUCACAGAGUACUAUUUAUAGUUUGCAGAAUAUUCUUAAUAAUAUAGAUUUUAAUAAAGCUGUAGGUUACUUACUAAUUAUAUGUUAUGUAUUAAAUAGGAACCUUAUAAGUAUCUUUUUUAAUACUUACCCUUUCCCCUGUUUAAUUGUUUAGAUCAAAAGGUCCCUUCAGCAAAGUUCGAACUGGCCCUGGAAGGGGUAGGAAACGAAAAAUCACUCUUUCCAGCCAAUCAGCAUCAUCAUCAUCAGAAGAAGGAUAUUUAGAGCGGAUAGAUGGCUUGGACUUCUGCAGAGAUAGCAGUGUCUCCUUGAAGUUCAACAAGAAAACCAAAGGGCUCAUUGAUGGCCUUACCAAAUUUUUUACCCCUUCCCCUGAUGGGCGGAAAGCUCGGGGGGAAGUGGUGGACUACUCCGAGCAAUAUCGAAUCAGAAAGAGGGGCAACAGGAAAUCAAGCACUUCAGAUUGGCCCACAGACAAUCAGGAUGGCUGGGAUGGC